This 1200-nucleotide ribosomal RNA is filed under the name Erpobdella testacea. RNAcentral describes it as "16S ribosomal RNA". The stretch from base 768 to 1200 matches the Rfam family "Bacterial large subunit ribosomal RNA", at positions 2048 to 2738 of the family's 2925-position model. Lineage: Eukaryota; Metazoa; Annelida; Clitellata; Hirudinida; Erpobdellidae. The record is from RNAcentral.
GCCUUUUAUUUACACUAAAAAGAAAAUAUUAAUUUAAUCUGUUAAAUAAUAAAUUUAUUAAAAUAAUUAUACACAUAUAAGAAAUAUAAUAUAUCAUAUAAAUAUAAUACAGUAAUGGAAAUUAUAAUAAUAAAAAGUAAAUUUUAUGUACCUUUUGCAUCAUGGGUAUACAAGCAUAAAGUAUAAUCUAAUAACCCGAAUCUUAAAUGAGCUGUAUUAAUAUUGUUAAGAACUAAUUAUUUAAUGUUUCACUAUUAUUAAAAAAUAUUAUAACAGAGGCUACAUACCAUACGCAUUAAGAAAUAUCUGGCUUCUAAAAAAAAAAUUGUUUAUCAAUAUUUCUAAUAUAGAAAAUUAAAUUAUAGAUUAUAAGGUCUAUAAUUAACACUUAUAUAAAUUAUAUUAUUUAAAGUAGGCCUAAAAUCAGCCAUCUAGUAGUACCUUACCGUAGUAAAAAAAAAAAANUAAUUUACUAAUAUAGAGUAACUAUAGAAUAUUAAAAUAAUUAAAUUAUUAAUAUUAAAAUGUAUAUAUUAGUAUAUUAUAAAUUAAGUUUAAGGAAUUAGGCAAAUAUAAUUUUCGACUGUUUAACAAAAACAUUUCCUCUAGUAAAAAUAUUAAAGGUACUCUCUGCCCACGGAAAGCUUUAACGGCCGCGGUAUACUAACCGUGCUAAGGUAGCAUAAUAAUUUGUCUAUUAAUAGUAGAAUAGAAUGAAAGAGAAAACGAAAAAUUAACUGUCUCAAACUUUAAAAUAAAAAUUAUUAUUUAAGUGAAGAAACUUAGAUAAAUCUGUAAGACAAGAAGACCCUAUAAAGCUUUAUAAAUACCAUAAACUAAUUAAGGGUUAUAUUCGGUUGGGGCGACCUAGGUAUAAUAAAACAACCUAUAAAUAAAUAGAAUUAUAAUUCAUAAGUAGAUCCGUAUAACUAAAAAAUUUAGCUACUUUAGGGAUAACAGGCUAAAAUAUUUAAAGAGCUCCUAUCGACAAAUAUGCUUGGCACCUCGAUGUUGGCUUAAGAUACCUAAAUUACGCAGUAGUUAUUUAAGGUGGUAGGUUUGACCAUUAAAAUCUUACAUGAGCUGAGUUCAGACCGGCGUAAGCCAGGUUAGAUUCUAUCUACAGAAAAAAAAAAAUCAUCUCUAGUACGAGAGGACCAAGAUGAAACUAUUACUAGUUUUUAUAAAUAAAAAUUCAUG